Long non-coding RNA from Odocoileus virginianus texanus, 1560 nucleotides. RefSeq lists it as uncharacterized. The record is from RefSeq and is a predicted model, not a curated record. NCBI's taxonomy places the organism in Eukaryota, Metazoa, Chordata, Mammalia, Artiodactyla, Cervidae.
AGAGGCAUUCAGUGGAUUCCUUGAUGUACCUCUAAGUUUGUUUUUCUCUUGUCCCAUAUCUCUGAGAAAGCCUCCAUUCCCAAAGCAAAUACAAAGGAGAGAUUUGGAGAGGCAUUUUAUGUGAUUAAAACUUCUCUCAGUGCUUGCUCCUCCUAACCACAACUGUCUUUGUUUCCAUAGCUGUGCAGUGAGUUCGUACACACUAGUGACUUACACAAUACCCAUUGUCACCUCACACGUUCAGUAGGUCAGAAGUCCAGGAAGGCACACACUGUGUUAUCAGCACAGGCUCCCACAAGGUUAAAUUCAAAGUGUCAAGCCAGGUUUUCGUCUGGAGCUUGGGACCGUCUUCUGAGCUCACUGGGAUUGUCUGAAAGAUCUAGCUCUUGGCAGGUAAACACAGAACACUGGAUGCAGAUGGUUUCCACCUGGCAGGCACAGACACACACCGUGACUGGCUUCGAUGCCAAAGAACAACAGGAACUCACUGACUGCCAUAAUUCAGCAUGCAGAAAAUCAGAGUGGUCUGUAAACCGACGAUUUUAUGCUAAUGCAACACAGUGCACAGAAAGAGUAUCUGGAUAUUACUUCUGCUGAAUGCUCAGUUUGAAAGCAACAGUGAACAAACAUGAGUCCUGCCAUAUGAUACCAUACCCCAAAAGGAAUAACCAGCCACCUGAUGGCAGAUUAACUACAUAAGGCUUCUUCCAACAUGAUGAGUGUGGAAUCCCUGCUGUCUGAAAUUGAUACAUUCUAGACAUGGAUUUGUCCAUCUUGUCUACCAAGUUUCUGCCAGCAACAUCAUCUGUCAACUGACCAAAUGCUUCACUCUCUGUCACUAUAAUUCAUGUAACAUUGGUUCUGACUAGAGAUCUUAUUUUACAGCAGAAUGAUUAGGACCUCAGACUGAUGCAUUUAGGAGACAUUAAUAUUUCCAACUAGAAGCAGAUGGCUUUAUACAAAAGUGAAAUGACUUAUUAAAGAUUUAGUUUUGGUUCCUGUAUUAGAAGAUAUGGCACAAAAUUAGGAUGACAUCUUGUAGAAUGCAACAUAUGCCAUAAAAUAGCAUCUAAUACAUAGUGUUUCUUCAGCCAUGGCCAGAAAUAUGAGCUUAGGAACCAGGAAAUGAAAUGGGAGUGGUACUUCUCACUUUUCCCUUAAUGGCUCACUAACAUGAAUUUAAGUUCACAUCUUUGCCACUUUCAACUGCUUUGGUUUAAGGAUCUUGAUACUCAAGGGAGGAAUACUUCCACCAAGAGCGCAGCAGUGUCUCAAGCCAUUUGACGGAGCAGACAAGGGGAUUACCAUGUUGGCUGUGGGGUUAAGCAAGAUUAGAAAGGAAUAAUUACUGUUAUGCAAUGGAAACACAAAAGAGUUCCUCUAACUCAAGAAUUUCAAUAGGAUAUUUCUUAACAUUUCCAUGUCUAUUAGUAAAAAUUAAUGGAAAAUUAGAGUAGCCUCAUACAAGAAGAGCCAGCAGGGGCUCAAUUCCCAGUGAAUGGAAUUUGGGUCUACUCAAUAGGUAAGAAAUUCAGCUAACUGAGUCACCACUGACCUAAA